This 257-nucleotide ribosomal RNA is filed under the name uncultured bacterium. RNAcentral's name for it is "partial 16S ribosomal RNA". It matches the Rfam family "Bacterial small subunit ribosomal RNA", at positions 524 to 776 of the family's 1533-position model. The record is from RNAcentral.
UACGAAGGGUGCAAACGUUGCUCGGAAUCAUUGGGCGUAAAGCGCACGUAGGCGGCUUUCUAAGUCGGGGGUGAAAUCCUGGAGCUCAACUCCAGAAUUGCCUUCGAUACUGUAGAGCUUGAGACCGGAAGAGGUUUAGUGGAACUGCGAGUGUAGAGGUGAAAUUCGUAGAUAUUCGCAAGAACACCAGUGGCGAAGGCGGCUGACUGGUCCGGUUCUGACGCUGAGGCGGCGAAAAGCGUGGGGGAGCAAACAGG